UUGGAGGGCAAGUCUGGUGCCAGCAGCCGCGGUAAUUCCAGCUCCAAUAGCGUAUAUUAAAGUUGUUGCAGUUAAAAAGCUCGUAGUUGAAUUUCGGGAUCAAUAUAUCGGUCAUGCUUAGGUAUGUACUGGUAUUAUUGAUUUCUCCCUUCUGAAGAACCAUGAUGUCAUUUAUUUGAUGUCGUGGGGAAUCAGGACUGUUACUUUGAAAAAAUUAGAGUGUUUAAAGCAGGCUUUCGCUUGAAUACAUUAGCAUGGAAUAAUGAAAUAGGACGUUUGAUUCUAUUUUGUUGGUUUCUAGGAUCGACGUAAUGAUUAAUAGGGAUAGUUGGGGGCAUUAGUAUUCAAUUGUCAGAGGUGAAAUUCUUGGAUUUAUUGAAGACUAACUACUGCGAAAGCAUUUGCCAAGGAUGUUUUCAUUAAUCAAGAACGAAAGUUAGGGGAUCGAAGACGAUCAGAUACCGUCGUAGUCUUAACCAUAAACUAUGCCGACUAGGGAUCGGAUGAUGUUAAUUUUUUAAUGACUCAUUCGGCGCCUUACGGGAAACCAAAGUGUUUGGGUUC
Molecule: ribosomal RNA, 564 nt
Filed under: uncultured Glomeromycotina
Lineage: Eukaryota; Fungi; Glomeromycota
Description: SSU rRNA
Rfam family: Eukaryotic small subunit ribosomal RNA
Source: RNAcentral